ACGGGUGAGUAAUGCCUAGGAAUCUGCCUGGUAGUGGGGGAUAACGCUCGGAAACGGACGCUAAUACCGCAUACGUCCUACGGGAGAAAGCAGGGGACCUUCGGGCCUUGCGCUAUCAGAUGAGCCUAGGUCGGAUUAGCUAGUUGGUGAGGUAAUGGCUCACCAAGGCGACGAUCCGUAACUGGUCUGAGAGGAUGAUCAGUCACACUGGAACUGAGACACGGUCCAGACUCCUACGGGAGGCAGCAGUGGGGAAUAUUGGACAAUGGGCGAAAGCCUGAUCCAGCCAUGCCGCGUGUGUGAAGAAGGUCUUCGGAUUGUAAAGCACUUUAAGUUGGGAGGAAGGGCAGUAACCUAAUACGUUAUUGUUUUGACGUUACCGACAGAAUAAGCACCGGCUAACUCUGUGCCAGCAGCCGCGGUAAUACAGAGGGUGCAAGCGUUAAUCGGAAUUACUGGGCGUAAAGCGCGCGUAGGUGGUUUGUUAAGUUGAAUGUGAAAUCCCCGGGCUCAACCUGGGAACUGCAUCCAAAACUGGCAAGCUAGAGUAGGGCAGAGGGUGGUGGAAUUUCCUGUGUAGCGGUGA
This 586-nucleotide ribosomal RNA is filed under the name uncultured bacterium. RNAcentral describes it as "bacterial SSU rRNA". It matches the Rfam family "Bacterial small subunit ribosomal RNA", at positions 102 to 684 of the family's 1533-position model. The record is from RNAcentral.